RNAcentral lists this ribosomal RNA (960 nucleotides) under Miscanthus sinensis (eulalia). RNAcentral's name for it is "partial ribosomal RNA". The record is from RNAcentral. Lineage: Eukaryota; Viridiplantae; Streptophyta; Magnoliopsida; Poales; Poaceae.
GAUUUCUUGGGGUUCCCUGGGGAUUCUUGAUUGGAGCUGAGCUAACCAUAGCCCAAAGUCGUAUCUCCUUGGUUAAUAAGAUCCAAAAGGUUUAUCGAUCCCAAGGGGUACAGAUCCAUAAUAGACAUAUAGAGAUUAUUAUACGCCAAGUAACAUCAAAAGUAAGGGUUUCCGAAGAUGGAAUGUCUAAUGUUUUUUUACCUGGGGAAUUAAUAGGACUAUUGCGAGCGGAACGAGCAGGGCGGGCUUUAGAUGAAUCGAUCUAUUAUCGGGCAAUCUUAUUGGGAAUAACAAGGGCUUCCCUGAAUACCCAAAGUGUCAUAUCUGAAGCAAGUGUUCAAGAAACUGCUCGAGCUCUCAGAAAAGCUGCCCUACGAGGUCGUAUUGAUUGGGUUGACAGGCCUGAAAGAAAACCGUAGUUCUGGGGGGGAUUAUACCUGUUGGUACCGGAUUCCAAAAAUUUGCUGCAUCGUUCCCCACAAGACAAGAACCUUUAUUUCGAAAUUCAAAAAAAAAAUCUAUUCGCGUCGGAAAUGAGAGAUAUUUUGUUUCUCCAUACAGAAUUAGUUUCUCCUGAUUCUGACGUAACAAACAAUUUCUAUGAAACAUCAGAGACCCCGUUUACCCCUAUUUAUACGAUUUAAGUAUACAUAAAGCAAUUUUUUUUACUUUAAUUUAAACUAUACUUUUGACCUUAGGAUGCUAACGGGUCUUAUUUUCCGAUUUUGUAUUUGACUUUGACUUGUAUUUGACUUAUAUUUGAAUAAGUAAAAGAAGUCAGUUAAUUCAUUCAAGGCUAUGUUUAUACCGUGUAUCAAUGGUCAAUUAUGAGUAGAAGGUUCCAUCGGAACAAUUAUUAUUUAUUUCAAGCUAUUUCGGCUCUUUCUUAAUCUUCAAAAAGAAAUUAAUUCCGUAACGGUAAGACGAAAAAAGAAAAAAUAAAAAGGAAGUGUGGAAAAA